This 418-nucleotide ribosomal RNA is filed under the name uncultured bacterium. Its description in RNAcentral is "bacterial SSU rRNA". It matches the Rfam family "Bacterial small subunit ribosomal RNA", at positions 355 to 786 of the family's 1533-position model. The record is from RNAcentral.
UGGGGAAUAUUGCACAAUGGGGGAAACCCUGAUGCAGCAACGCCGCGUGAAGGAAGACGGUUUUCGGAUUGUAAACUUCUUUUCUUAGUGAAGAAGCAAGUGACGGUAGCUAAGGAAUAAGCAUCGGCUAACUACGUGCCAGCAGCCGCGGUAAUACGUAGGAUGCGAGCGUUAUCCGGAAUUACUGGGUGUAAAGGGAGCGCAGGCGGGACUGCAAGUUGGAUGUGAAAUACCGCAGCUUAACUGCGGAGCUGCAUCCAAAAACUGUAGUUCUUGAGUGGAGUAGAGGCAAGCGGAAUUCCGAGUGUAGCGGUGAAAUGCGUAGAUAUUCGGAGGAACACCAGUGGCGAAGGCGGCUUGCUGGGCUCUAACUGACGCUGAGGCUCGAAAGUGUGGGGAGCAAACAGGAUUAGAUACC